UUACCUUUGCAUUGCAUUGGUUUAAUGUGUUUUAUUACUAACACAUUGAUUAAAAGGGAAUCGGGUGAAAAUCCCGAACAGACCCGCUACUGUAAGUUCUAUGCAACAUUUUGACAUAAUCAACAAUAGUCACUGCAUUUAGUAAUAUAAUGCGGGAAGGCUGUUCAAAAUGAGGAUAAGUCAGGAGACCUGCCGGUGCCUUAAUAUUUUU
Molecule: non-coding RNA, 211 nt
Filed under: Porphyromonadaceae
Lineage: Bacteria; Pseudomonadati; Bacteroidota; Bacteroidia; Bacteroidales
Also listed under: 1 other name
Source: RNAcentral